GGAUGCGAUCAUACCAACACUGAAGCACCGGAUCCCAUCAGAACUUUGAAGUUAAGCGUGCUUGGGCGAGAGUAGUACUAGGAUGGGUGACCUCCUGGGAAGUCCUCGUGUUGCAUUCC
RNAcentral lists this ribosomal RNA (119 nucleotides) under Triticum dicoccoides. Lineage: Eukaryota; Viridiplantae; Streptophyta; Magnoliopsida; Poales; Poaceae. The record is from RNAcentral.